AAAGGAAUUGACGGGGGCCCGCACAAGCGGAGGAACAUGUGGUUUAAUUCGAUGAUACGCGAGGAACCUUACCCGGGCUUAAAUGUAUUUUGCAUGAUGUGGAAACACAUCUUUCCUUCGGGACUAUUUACAAGGUGCUGCAUGGUUGUCGUCAGCUCGUGCCGUGAGGUGUCGGGUUAAGUCCCAUAACGAGCGCAACCCUUGUUGUCAGUUGCCAGCAUGUAAUGAUGGGGACUCUGACAAGACUGCCGGUGUAAACCGUGAGGAAGGUGGGGAUGACGUCAAAUCAGCACGGCCCUUAUGUCCGGGGCGACACACGUGUUACAAUGGUCGGUACAGCGAGCAGCCACCUGGCGACAGGGCGCUAAUCUCCAAAGCCGAUCUUAGUUCGGAUCGGAGUCUGCAACUCGACUCCGUGAAGCCGGAUUCGCUAGUAAUCGCGCAUCAGCCAUGGCGCGGUGAAUACGUUCCCGGGCCUUGUACACACCGCCCGU
Molecule: ribosomal RNA, 494 nt
Filed under: uncultured bacterium
Lineage: Bacteria
Description: bacterial SSU rRNA
Rfam family: Bacterial small subunit ribosomal RNA
Source: RNAcentral